RNAcentral lists this ribosomal RNA (461 nucleotides) under uncultured Cellulomonas sp. RNAcentral's name for it is "bacterial SSU rRNA". It matches the Rfam family "Bacterial small subunit ribosomal RNA", at positions 920 to 1382 of the family's 1533-position model. The record is from RNAcentral. Lineage: Bacteria; Bacillati; Actinomycetota; Actinomycetes; Micrococcales; Cellulomonadaceae.
CCCGCACAAGCGGCGGAGCAUGCGGAUUAAUUCGAUGCAACGCGAAGAACCUUACCAAGGCUUGACAUACACCGGUAACGCCCAGAGAUGGGUGCCCCUUUGUGGUCGGUGGACAGGUGGUGCAUGGUUGUCGUCAGCUCGUGUCGUGAGAUGUUGGGUUAAGUCCCGCAACGAGCGCAACCCUCGUCCUAUGUUGCCAGCGGGUCAUGCCGGGGACUCAUGGGAGACUGCCGGGGUCAACUCGGAGGAAGGUGGGAUGACGUCAAAUCAUCAUGCCCCUUAUGUCUUGGGCUUCACGCAUGCUACAAUGGCCGGUACAAAGGGCUGCGAUACCGCGAGGUGGAGCGAAUCCCAGAAAGCCGGUCUCAGUUCGGAUUGGGGUCUGCAACUCGACCCCAUGAAGUCGGAGUCGCUAGUAAUCGCAGAUCAGCAACGCUGCGGUGAAUACGUUCCCGGGCCUU